RNAcentral lists this ribosomal RNA (239 nucleotides) under uncultured bacterium. RNAcentral describes it as "partial 16S ribosomal RNA". It matches the Rfam family "Bacterial small subunit ribosomal RNA", at positions 118 to 351 of the family's 1533-position model. The record is from RNAcentral.
UGAGGAACAUGACCUUCGGCGGGGAUAGCCGGCCCAACGGCCGGGUAAUACCGCGUACGACCACAUGGGGACAUCCCUGAGUGGUGAAAGCAGCAAUGCGCCGAUGGAGUGCCUCGCGGCCUAUCAGCUAGUUGGUGAGGUAACGCUCACCAAGGCGACGACGGGUAGCCGGCCUGGAGGAGGGCGAUCCGGCCACACGUGGGACUGAGACACGGCCCAGACCUCCGUACGGGGAGCAG